This 497-nucleotide ribosomal RNA is filed under the name uncultured bacterium. RNAcentral's name for it is "partial 16S ribosomal RNA". It matches the Rfam family "Bacterial small subunit ribosomal RNA", at positions 28 to 507 of the family's 1533-position model. The record is from RNAcentral.
GAUGAACGCUGGCGGCGUGCCUAAUACAUGCAAGUCGAGCGAACAGACGAGGAGCUUGCUCCUCUGACGUUAGCGGCGGACGGGUGAGUAACACGUGGAUAACCUACCUAUAAGACUGGGAUAACUUCGGGAAACCGGAGCUAAUACCGGAUAAUAUAUUGAACCGCAUGGUUCAAUAGUGAAAGACGGUUUUGCUGUCACUUAUAGAUGGAUCCGCGCCGCAUUAGCUAGUUGGUAAGGUAACGGCUUACCAAGGCGACGAUGCGUAGCCGACCUGAGAGGGUGAUCGGCCACACUGGAACUGAGAAACGGUCCAGACUCCUACGGGAGGCAGCAGUAGGGAAUCUUCCGAAAUGGGCGAAAGCCUGACGGAGCAACGCCGCGUGAGUGAUGAAGGUCUUCGGAUAGUAAAACUCUGUUAUUAGGGAAGAACAAAUGUGUAAGUAACUAUGCACGUCUUGACGGUACCUAAUCAGAAAGCCACGGCUAACUACGUG